UUGGGUUUAAAGGGAGCGUAGGCGGAUUAUUAAGUCAGUGGUGAAAGACGGUGGCUCAACCAUCGUUAGCCAUUGAAACUGGUAGUCUUGAGUGCAGACAGGGAUGCUGGAACUCGUGGUGUAGCGGUGAAAUGCUUAGAUAUCACGAUGAACUCCGAUCGCGAAGGCAGGUGUCCGGGCUGCAACUGACGCUGAGGCUCGAAAGUGUGGGUAUCAAACAGGAUUAGAUACCCUGGUAGUCCACACAGUAAACGAUGUAUACUCGCGGUUUGCGAUAGAAUGUAAGCCGCCAAGCGAAAGCAUUAAGUAUACCACCUGGGGAGUACGCCGGCAACGGUGAAACUCAAAGGAAUUGACGGGGGCCCGCACAAGCGGUGGAGCAUGUGGUUUAAUUCGAAGCAACGCGAAGAACCUUACCAGGUCUUGACAUCCCGAUGCUAUUUCUAGAGAUAGAAAGUUACUUCGGUACAUCGGUGACAGGUGGUGCAUGGUUGUCGUCAGCUCGUGUCGUGA
RNAcentral lists this ribosomal RNA (513 nucleotides) under uncultured bacterium. Its description in RNAcentral is "bacterial SSU rRNA". It matches the Rfam family "Bacterial small subunit ribosomal RNA", at positions 554 to 1070 of the family's 1533-position model. The record is from RNAcentral.